RNAcentral lists this ribosomal RNA (467 nucleotides) under uncultured bacterium. RNAcentral's name for it is "partial 16S ribosomal RNA". It matches the Rfam family "Bacterial small subunit ribosomal RNA", at positions 28 to 506 of the family's 1533-position model. The record is from RNAcentral.
GACGAACGCUGGCGGCGUGCUUAACACAUGCAAGUCGAACGGAAAGGCCCUGCUUUUGUGGGGUGCUCGAGUGGCGAACGGGUGAGUAACACGUGAGUAACCUGCCCUUGACUUUGGGAUAACUUCAGGAAACUGGGGCUAAUACCGGAUAGGAGCUCCUGCUGCAUGGUGGGGGUUGGAAAGUUUCGGCGGUUGGGGAUGGACUCGCGGCUUAUCAGCUUGUUGGUGGGGUAGUGGCUUACCAAGGCUUUGAUGGGUAGCCGGCCUGAGAGGGUGACCGGCCACAUUGGGACUGAGAUACGGCCCAGACUCCUACGGGAGGCAGCAGUGGGGAAUAUUGCACAAUGGGCGGAAGCAUGAUGCAGCAACGCCGCGUGCGGGAUGACGGCCUUCGGGUUGUAAACCGCUUUCGCCUGUGACGAAGCGUGAGUGACGGUAAUGGGUAAAGAAGCACCGGCUAACUACGU